CCUACGGGAGGCAGCAGUAAGGAAUCUUCCACAAUGGACGAAAGUCUGAUGGAGCAACGCCGCGUGCAGGAUGAAGGCUUUCGGGUCGUAAACUGCUUUUAUAUGGGAAGAUUAUGACGGUACCAUAUGAAUAAGGACCGGCUAACUACGUGCCAGCAGCCGCGGUAAUACGUAGGGUCCAAGCGAUAUCCGGAAUUACUGGGCGUAAAGCGUGUGUAGGUGGAUUAAUAAGUGUGAUGCGAAAUCCGGCGACUCAACCGUUUGGACUGUGUCGCAUACUGUUAGUCUAGAGGACGGCAGAGGUAAGUGGAAUUACGGGUGUAGCAGUGAAAUGCGUAGAUAUCCGUAGGAACACCAAUGGCGAAGGCAGCUUACUGGGCCACACCUGACACUGAGACACGAAAGCGUGGGGAGCGAACAGGAUUAGAUACCCUGGUAGUCCACGCCGUAAACGAUGCAUACUAUUAGUAUGGGGUAUCGACCCCCUGUGCUGAGAAGCUAACGCGAUAAGUAUGCCGCCUGGGGAGUACGAGCGCAAGCUAAAACUCAAAGGAAUUGACGG
Molecule: ribosomal RNA, 562 nt
Filed under: uncultured bacterium
Lineage: Bacteria
Description: bacterial SSU rRNA
Rfam family: Bacterial small subunit ribosomal RNA
Source: RNAcentral